UUUUAUCGUUUUUCGACUUUGGCCACAUAACUUUUGUUUUUAACAUUAUAGCUCAAACUUUGACUCUUAUUUACUCUUGUUACAGGAAAGAUGGUGAUGUUGUCUCACCAAAGGCGCUAUUAAACAGGAAAGCUUCAUCAAGAGCAAUAGCUAAACCUGUUGUCAAGAACGUUAUGAGACACUACGAUAUAGGGUCAUCGAAAGCAAAGGAUGAGCAGUCGACCACGGCCAUAUGGAUCCGCCGCAGACAACUUUGACGGCUAAGGACCUCCUUUUAGAGAUGUGUUUGAUGUAACUUUGGUUGCGAGGAAACCAUAGAAAUCACGUAAAGAGGUGCGGAAAGAAUUGGGUAAGGAAGAAUGUGCAGAAGGUGGAACUCAACUCUGGUGGACAAGCUGGAGCUGCCCCCUAUACUUUUUCUUUUAUUUCUUCUCCAAAACUAUACAUUUUUAUAGAACACAAUUUUUUAAUCAUUUUGUCAAAAGAACUUGCAAGUAUCAUAUAAUUGUGGGGAUCCAUUAUCAAGAACUUCCUCCUUAUGCUUGAGUUCUUCUUUGACACCAAUUCAUUCGUUAAGAACUCUGUUUUGACAAAA
Molecule: long non-coding RNA, 595 nt
Organism: Erigeron canadensis
Lineage: Eukaryota; Viridiplantae; Streptophyta; Magnoliopsida; Asterales; Asteraceae
Exons: 5
Source: RefSeq, a predicted model, not a curated record